GGCCGCGGGGCCCGGGCGGGGCCGGGGCGCCGGCUCGGCCUGGCAGCUCACGGGACCCCUCCUCCUUGUCCUUCCAGCCUGCAGGGCGUGCCGGUGGCUUACGACAACAUCAAAGUGGUGGGGGAGCUCGGCGACAUCUAUGACGAUCAAGGGUUCAUCCACCUGGACGUGGAGGCGGACUUCGUCAUCUUCAGCCCCAAGAAAGGGAAGAAGCUGGUGGGUGUAAUUAAUAAAGUGGCCCCUAGUCACAUUGGGUGCCUGAUCCAUGGAUGCUUCAAUGCAUCUAUCCCCAAGCCUGAACAAAUGUCCCCUGUACAGUGGCAAGAGCUGGGGUUUAAAAUAGGGGAUGAACUGAAAUUUCAAGUGUUGCACUUGGAUUCUGAUACAGCUGGGGUGUUCUUCAUUCGAGGAGGACUCACUAAAAGCAGCAUGCGGCCCAAAAAAUCUGAUGCAGUCCCUGAAAGUACAAAUGGGGAUGAAGUUCAAAAGCUUGACCACCAGGAAAAUGGCCUAAAUAACAGUGGGAAAGAUAAUGUCACAGAAGAGCCUUUAAAUGAGAUGGGUAACCUUGGGAGGGAAAAUGAAGAAGAGCCAGGUAUUGAUGCUGUGAAUGGAUUAUGUGAUGAUAAGAAGAAGAAGAAGAAAAAGAAAGAAGACAAGGACAAGGACAAGCAAGGAGAACAGGAACUUGUAUUGCCUACCAGUGACUCCAGUGGUUACCAAAGUGACCAUAAAAAGUCAAAGAAAAAGAAAAGAAAGCAUUGUGAUGAAGUUGAAGAAAGUGAAUUAUCUCAGCUGUCAGAAAAACCCAAAGCAAAAAAGAAAAGGACUGAGGUCUGAAGUGUCUUCCCUGUAUUACAUUUCAGAUGUUUUUGAUAAGUUUCAAUAAAACCCUGUUUUGAAAAUGUGUAUCACUUUUUCUUUACUACACAGUCUGCUCUGCUUGGUCAGAUGGUGUUUGUGUGAAUAUGUGCGCCAGCAGUUUGAAAGGCAGGAUCUUUUAAGGUAGUGGUAGAAGCAGUGUCUGCCUGGUUUUUUUACUGGAAAACAAGGCACAACAGAACUGGAAUGUAAUUACAGGAGCACAUGCAUCACCUCUCUGUCUGCUUUCCUGUUCCGUAUUAGCAUUAGCCAGUUGAUAGUUACAGUGUGUGCUACUCUAACUCCAUCUUUGCCAAUCAGUGUCUUGAUUUUACAAGAGUAGAUUAGGAUUAUCUUUGGGUUUCUGGGAAAUUCAUGUGAAUUCCCAGGAGGCUUAAAAGAGAAUUUUUUUUUUUAGUUUGAAUUUUCAGCUUUUGGUUGCAGCUCUUUUCAGUUGCGAGGAGCUCUGGGGAGAAAUGUAGUGUGACAUGGUUUAGUGUUUCACCAAGGCAGGAGGCUGUGAUGGCUUUGGUAUUGAUUUACCUGUUACAAGACCAGCUCUUUGAAGGCCUUGGAAGUAAACAGCAUGAAUGUGGAAACUUGCUGUUCAUCUCUGUUCCUAGAUGAUAAAACAUUUUGCUGUAGUGAUUAAUGCUGAUGCUAUUAGGUCACUUCAAUAGAAGUGUUUACAACUUCUAAUAACAUCCAUUCACAUUGAACAUGUUCUGAAUUUCAAGUGUGACAAUACUUAGGGCUCACUUUGUGUAUUAAUGUCUUUUAUACUUCUUUAAAACUCCAAAUGUACCAAGACAAAGUUACCAGCUUACAGGCUCGAUGGUAUGACAAUACAUAGUAGGCAUUUUAAAGUUAUGGCACUAUAAAGAACCAAGUUAAGACUUUUUGAAGACUUACAAGAAAGUGCACUUAAGUAGUAAUGCCAGCAGUAGCAGCAGAAACUGCAGGAUGUCCUCUUGUGUUUGCUCUUCAGUGUAGUUCAUAUUGAGAUGAAGCCAGUUUCUGAACAGUCCUGAGGUGAGCAUGAAUUGUCCCUAUUGUGUUUCUAUGUGUGAUGAUUCUGACACUUAAUUUCCAUGCAAUUUCAUAGGCACUGGCUCUUCUAUCCAUUUCUCCUGUGCUGUGACAAAACCUGAGAAGUCAGAUGAUGUUCAUAAUGUAUCAUACCAUGCUGCAGGAUCAGCUGAGGGCAGCAUUCUGGUGUGUUCAUGGUUGCAGAGAAUGACACAGAAGUCCCAUGCUGCUGUACUUCAAGUAAACUGCCAAGCUGAAGGUUGAGACAUAAUUUUGUCAGAAAUUAUGUGCUAGUUCCCCCUUUAUAUAUAUAUAUAUAUAUAUAUAUAUAAUAUAUGUAUAUUUAGGUAGUGACUUGAGGGACAAGUUGUAUGAAUGGGUAAGAAACAGAGAGGAGGAUGGCAAGCACAGAUAUUUUUUGAUGAUGCCAACAUGAAGAGAAGGAUGGAGGCAGUUACUGUUGGAGAUGAACUAGAGAUUGAGUCACAUGAUUUGAUCUCUUACUCCUUAACACUCACUGUACCUCACUUUCUCUUCAAGGCAAGGGAAACAUCUCCAGAGUCAAGCCUCACCAGCUGAUAGAAACGGUUUGUAGCACCAAAAGUCUGUUUUGCUCUCUUCUGAUUUUCAUCAACAUGCAAAGGAAGAAGACAUUCAGGGGGAAGUAGUGAAGUUGCAACUGAUGAAUCAAGUAACAAACAAUAUAAAUGCUUUCAACACUUUGCUCUUUUUCCACUUGUGCUGCUUUACUGUUCUCUUACUGGAAAUUGCUUACUGUAGUUCAGCAAACUGUGCAAACUGUUUUGUUGAUGAUUAGUCUUUUUCUGAAAGCCUACAAUAGUCUCAGUUUUGGGCCUUACUUAGAGACAGGUUUAUUUUUGGCACACAAGUUUGGCUGGCACCCAUUUGUAUCUUUUUUUGGUUUUCUUUCUUGGGUUACAACAAAAGAGAGCAAUUAAAAAUAAAUGCGAGAGCUGGCAAUUAAUGAUUCCUGAAGUUGUUUCUCCAGUGAUACAAAUACCAUAACAUGUUAAAUUCCUGCUAAGUUUUGUGUCUGUGGAAGGGGAAAAGUGAAGAAAAGAUUUCAAAAAAGAAGGAACAAAAACAUGGUUUACACAGUUGGAGGCAAUACUGGCAGCCUCAGAGCUGCACUGUUGAUGUUGCUGUAAAUACUGGUUUGAUAUUUGCUAAAUAUGGCAAGAAAACUUGGAUUUUCAAAAGUGAAUUUUCACUCUGAUCAUGAUUUAAAUCACUUGUCUCUAUUUUUUCCCCAUAAAAAGGCAAGAUUUUCUGAUGCUUGUAAUUAACAAAGGAGCUGAACUUGACACUUUCCAAUAAAGUUUCUCUGAAGUUUGAACUCUAUAAACCUUUAAGUUUCUGCAUUCCCUUGGACUACAAAUGAAGAGUUAUAUUGAAUUUUAAGUUCAGCCAAGAUUUUUGAGUAUAUAGAACAAUCAUUUAUAAAGUUUCCUGAGAGACCAGGUGACUAUUUUUUUGUACAGCCCUUCUGUUAUUUUUUUCAGGGUGCAUUCUAGUACAACUCAUGUCACAUGAGCAAAGAGAAGGUUAGAAAGUAAAAUUGUAUUUUGUCUUAUAAUUGUAUUGAUAGUUACACCAAGGUAACUGUGAUCUAGAGAAAAAAAUUUGCUGGAUUUAUUUUUUUUCUGUUUUAACAAUAAGCUUGUAACGAAGCCAAUAUUUACUUAUGGCUAUGGUUGAUAUUCUUCUGUCCUUAUUACAGAACAUGAAGUUCUAACUUAAUCAGCUAUAAGUUUCUAAAGUAGAAACUGCUACUUUGUAGUAUAAAUAUUUUGAUUCUGCGAAUGUUUCUCAGUGUAUUGUAUGCCUUUGGCAGAAGAGCAAGCAGCCUUGCAAGAAGAUAUUUUUAGCUGUCUCUAAAACAAUUGUUUUGUAUUCUCUGAAGCUUGCAAUAAUCUGCAGUGCUAACUUUUGCUCUUUGUCUUUUCCUUGCUUGUCUAAGAAACAAAUUCUUUGCUUUUGACUUGGCACUUUGCUACUGCUUUAAAUACUUAGCCCAAACAGCCCAGUGGAUGAGCUCUAGGGAAAGAUUUUUUUUAAAGGUCUUCAGCAAGCUAGCUGCCUUGUGGAAAAACAUGAGCCGUCAUCAAAUCUGCCUCUGAGUAAACAGUUUGCCUUUGGAAGCAUCCCAG
Molecule: long non-coding RNA, 4061 nt
Filed under: Geospiza fortis (medium ground-finch)
Lineage: Eukaryota; Metazoa; Chordata; Aves; Passeriformes; Thraupidae
Description: lncRNA (ENSGFOG00000007859.1)
Source: RNAcentral